UACAGAGACCUCAAGCGUUAUCCGGAAUCAUUGGGCGUAAAGCGUACCGAUCGGUGGUUGAAAUAGUCUUGGGUAAAAGCCGGAAGCUCAACUUCCGCGUUUGCUUAAGAUACUUUUCGACUAGAGGGGCAAAGAGGUGCUUGGAACCAACGGUGUAGUAGUGAAAUGCGUUGAUAUCGUUGGGAACACCGAAAGCGAAGGCAGAGCACUGGGUGCCACCUGACACUGCUAGGACGAAAGCGUGGGGAGCGAAUGGG
Molecule: ribosomal RNA, 257 nt
Filed under: uncultured bacterium
Lineage: Bacteria
Description: partial 16S ribosomal RNA
Rfam family: Bacterial small subunit ribosomal RNA
Source: RNAcentral